GUACAACUGAUGAGUCCCACAAUAGGACGAAAUGGCUGUCCAGUGC
Schistosoma mansoni is the source of this 46-nucleotide non-coding RNA. The record is from Rfam. NCBI's taxonomy places the organism in Eukaryota, Metazoa, Platyhelminthes, Trematoda, Strigeidida, Schistosomatidae.